GAAAACAGGGGCAACUCUGUGAGUACAGUGGCGUACGGGUGAGUAACACGUGACUACCUACCUUCGAGUGGGGGAUAACCCCGGGAAACCGGGGCUAAUACCGCAUAACAUCGCAAGAUCAAAGAAGCAAUUCGCUGGAAGAGGGGGUCGCGGCUGAUUAGCUAGUUGGUAGGGUAAUGGCCUACCAAGGCAAUGAUCGGUAGCCGGCCUGAGAGGGCACACGGCCACACUUUCUCUGCGACACGGGACAGACUCCUACGUGACUCACUCAGGGAAGUUCUAGAAAUCUCUAGCAAAUUUC
This 301-nucleotide small RNA is filed under the name uncultured bacterium. RNAcentral's name for it is "bacterial SSU rRNA". The stretch from base 1 to 267 matches the Rfam family "Bacterial small subunit ribosomal RNA", at positions 69 to 350 of the family's 1533-position model. The record is from RNAcentral.